GACCAUCUUCAAAUAUUGUUCUGAGCAGGAAUCACAGUUACAAUGAAAACAGUGAAGUCAUCAAAACACUUUCACGGCUUCUGUCUCCUGAACAUGUCCAUGAAAUCUAUCUGAAUAUAAGAACUUGCUGAACAGAUCAUCAAAUCCAGCAUCCUCUUCCUAACAGCAGUAUUAGAGUUGCAUUAAUGUAAAGGAUGUGGAUGGAUCAGUCCUCAGCUGUUCAGGUAAAACCAGAUGCCUACUGUGAGCAGAAAGAGGAGAGGAACUCCCUGUCUGCAGUGAAUCCAGGCUCAGCUUUCCUGUUCCUCAGCCCCUGAGGUGGAAGAAGCCUCUGUUUCCCUGAGGACAGUUAAUUCUUCCCCUCUCUU
RNAcentral lists this long non-coding RNA (368 nucleotides) under Chloebia gouldiae (Gouldian finch). RNAcentral describes it as "Erythrura gouldiae (Gouldian finch) lncRNA (ENSEGOG00005005818.1)". The record is from RNAcentral. Lineage: Eukaryota; Metazoa; Chordata; Aves; Passeriformes; Passeridae.